UUUUUGGAAAGAAUACCACAGAAGUGGGGCACCUGCAUGGCUCAGUAGGUUAAGCGCCCCACUCUUGGUUUUGGCUCAGUCAUGAUCUCAGAGUUCUGAGAUCCAGCUCCAUUUGGGCUCCACACUGAGUACAGAAUCUGCUGAGAUUCCCUCCCUGUGCCUGCCACCCCGCCUUGUGUGUGCAUGUGAUCUCUAAUAAAUAAAAAGAAUACCACAAGUGUGUCCAUCUUAGCGUGUCCUUAUCAGGAGGCACAUGGAUGUCAAUGUCUCAUUUUUGGCAACCUUAACUUUGGUGAAGGUGGUAUCUACCAGUUUUCUCCCCUAUAGGUACUUAGAUAUGAUAAGACUAUUAUUCAGAGGUUUCCUGGUUGCCUGAGUGUGUAGACGUAAUACUUGAUCUCAGGGUUGUGAGUUAAAGACCCGCGUUGGGCAUAGAGCUUACCUAAAAAAAGGGGGGGUGCCUGGGUGGCUCAGUCAGUUAAGUGACUCGAUUUUAACUCAGGUCAUGAUCUCAGGGUCAUGAGAUAGAGCCUUGCUUCGGGCUCUGCACUCAGUGGAGAGUCUGCUUGAGGAUUUCCUCUCCCUUUGUCCCUUCCCCCAUUCCUGCCCUCUCCCUCUAAAAUCUUUUUUUCAAAAAUUCACAUUUCAUUUUUUCAUCUUUUACCUAUUCUAGCAUCUACUGAUACUCUUGCCUGAAGGAAUUACUAUUGUGGUGUUUGCCAAAUAAUGAUGUUUUAUUUCCAUCAUUCCCGCUCUAUUUAUUAAUUGGAAUUCUGUAAAGAAGAGCUUUCCCUUAUCCCUAUUAUUUAUUCCAUUAUUAUGCAGCACAAACUCAUGGAUAUUUUGGGCUCUGUGUUAUAAUCCAUUACUGUCCUCUAUUUUGUUGCUCAGUUGUCCCAGAUUUGGUCACUGGGAGAUCCUUUGGUUGGUUCCCAUGUCCUUUUGACAUAUCCCCAUCAUUUUUUGAGUACUUUAGGCACCAUGUAUUUAUGGCCUGGAUUUUUUUUUUAUAAAGAUUUUAUUUAUUCAUGAGAGACACAGAGAGAGAGAGAGAGGCAGAGACAGGCAGAGGGAGAAGCAGGCUCCAUGCAGGGAGCCCAACGUGGAACUCGAUCCCGGGUCUCCAGGAUCAGGCCCUGAGCUAAAGGCGGCACUAAACUGCUGAGCCACCUGGGCUGCCCUGGCUUGAAUUUUCAAGUUAGCCAUUAGCACACCUUUACGUGAUAGGGAGAAAGGUGGGUGGGGAGGGGGGCAAGUAAGGAAUGAAAAAGUGGAAUAUGUAAACGUAUACAUAACAGAAUGAGGAAUUAAGGAAUUCUUAUUGCUUCAAAAGACAGCGAGGUCAGAGUUAGAUUUGAGAGGACUUUUUCUGGUCUACUACUCCGCUCAUGUUCCCUUUACCUUCAGCUCACAUCUCAGUUCAGAGCUUCUUCACUCAUCACAGAAACCCUCUAUCCCUGGAGGUUGAAGGAACCUUCUAGUAACUUCCUAGUGGACUAAAUGGGUUGCUCAAAGGGGCCCAGAGAUAGGUGCCAAUCUGUGGGCUGUUACCAGUCUGUGAUGUGGUAAGUGCAAAAACAGAUCUAUGUUAAGAAGUUUUUAUAGCAAUUUGACAUGACAUGAUCUCCAAACAAAUUAUCAACAGCUUCCUCUUUAAUGAAUAAGGUACAGACCACAGGCCAGUUUGGGUGUAAAGCCUGCACGGUGAACCACAUGCAGAACAAGCUGUGUCCCAGUCAUGCACAAUGAAACCAUGUCCUAAUAGAUAUUUUAAGGUUAGUUUGCCAACUGUUACCCAAAAGUAUAAAAAAUUAACAUUUACAUCAUAAAUUGUUAGAACUGAAGAUUUGAAGACCUAUUUUGGGAGUAAGUCAUCACUUCCUUUUAGCUUAGAUGAAAAUUAAAAAUAAAUAUCCUGAGCUUGCUGGAUUACUUUAAAAUAUCUUCUUUCGUUUCUGUCAACAUAGCUCUGUGAGACUACAGUUUCUCUACUAUAGAUAUAUAUAAAAACAGAGAAGUCAUUCAGCUCUGUAUCUGCCCUGCGUGUAGCACUGUCCUCAGUCCAACCUGAAUCAGAUAAGUUACCAAACAACCACGCUUACUGGUCAUGUUUAAACUUUAAAUAAGAAACAUGGUGUUUCGGGAUACCUGGGUGGCUCAGCAGUUAAGUACCUGCCUUCAGCCCAGGGUGUGAUCCUGGAGUCCCGGGAUUGAGUCCCACAUCGGGCUCCCUGUGUGGAGCCUGCUUCUCCCUCAACCUAUGUCUCUGCCUCUCUGUCUCUCAUGAAU
This 2289-nucleotide long non-coding RNA is filed under the name Canis lupus familiaris (dog). RNAcentral describes it as "lncRNA (ENSCAFG00000055786.1, ENSCAFG00805016578.1, ENSCAFG00845026906.1)". Lineage: Eukaryota; Metazoa; Chordata; Mammalia; Carnivora; Canidae. The record is from RNAcentral.